Molecule: long non-coding RNA, 769 nt
Organism: Urocitellus parryii (Arctic ground squirrel)
Lineage: Eukaryota; Metazoa; Chordata; Mammalia; Rodentia; Sciuridae
Source: Ensembl
CCUUGACAGAACCUUGGUCCAGUAAGAUGAUCUGACCACAGCUGGUCUCCUACACUUAGAACAAGUUGGAAGCAAGAGAACUUGGGGAAGGAAUUUGGUUUCACUAAAAAUAGCUGCAAUAUAGACCCUGUGACUUACCACUCCUCAGAACAGUCUGAUAUGAGCUGAACAGGGUCCACUGGCCCCUGAAAUCACUCUGGACUAUUUGUGUUUCCUGCUUGGAGCCCUUGAAGCCAGGAGGAGCUUAGAGGGUUGGGGGUAUUUUGGCUCACAUGCAGACUCUUGCAAACCUCAGAAACUCACGGUGACGAUAUGACCAAGAAGCUUCCUAUUCCAAGGAGUGUGUGACCAUUGGCACUAAUAACAACAGGGCCCUUUAAGCUUUUGGUCCAUGGUGGGAUAUUACUUGUUCCUCACUACCAGGCCUAUUGUGUCUCCACUUCUAAGGCAGCGGCGGCAGCGGCAGCGGUGGGGAAAAGCGGAUUCCGCCCCGAGCCACACCGAGGAGAGCUUGCGGUCGCGACUUGCCGCCCUAAGCACUCUCCCAAGUCCAGCCCGCUCGGCGAGGACUUCAGUCUCCUGGGCGAACCUUGUCAAGCAAGCUGGGAUCUAUGAGUGGAAAGGUGACCAAGCCCAAAGAGGAGAAAGAUGCUUCUAAGGAUUCAAGAGACCUAUUUCAUCAACAUAAAACCCGUAGAAGCCACACAUGCUGGGAAUCGGUCCUCCAUAUCAAAGCUGAUCAGGAUGGAUUGACGAAUUUUGUAGCUUG